RNAcentral lists this unclassified non-coding RNA (345 nucleotides) under soil metagenome. RNAcentral describes it as "partial contains 5.8S ribosomal RNA, internal transcribed spacer 2, and large subunit ribosomal RNA". The stretch from base 1 to 120 matches the Rfam family "5.8S ribosomal RNA", at positions 35 to 154 of the family's 154-position model. The record is from RNAcentral.
GAUGAAGAACGCAGCGAAAUGCGAUAAGUAAUGUGAAUUGCAGAAUUCAGUGAAUCAUCGAAUCUUUGAACGCACAUUGCGCCCGCCAGUAUUCUGGCGGGCAUGCCUGUCUGAGCGUCAUUUCAACCCUCAUGCCCCUAGGGCGUGGUGUUGGGGAUCGGCCAAAGCCCGCGAGGGACGGCCGGCCCCUAAAUCUAGUGGCGGACCCGUCGUGGCCUCCUCUGCGAAGUAGUGAUAUUCCGCAUCGGAGAGCGAUGAGCCCCUGCCGUUAAACCCCCAACUUUCCAAGGUUGACCUCAGAUCAGGUAGGAAUACCCGCUGAACUUAAGCAUAUCAAGCGGAGGA